RNAcentral lists this ribosomal RNA (700 nucleotides) under uncultured bacterium. Its description in RNAcentral is "bacterial SSU rRNA". It matches the Rfam family "Bacterial small subunit ribosomal RNA", at positions 55 to 753 of the family's 1533-position model. The record is from RNAcentral.
AUGCAGUCGAACGGUAACAGGUCUUCGGAUGCUGACGAGUGGCGAACGGGUGAGUAAUACAUCGGAACGUGCCCGAUCGUGGGGGAUAACGGAGCGAAAGCUUUGCUAAUACCGCAUACGAUCUACGGAUGAAAGCAGGGGACCGCAAGGCCUUGCGCGGACGGAGCGGCCGAUGGCAGAUUAGGUAGUUGGUGGGAUAAAAGCUUACCAAGCCGACGAUCUGUAGCUGGUCUGAGAGGACGACCAGCCACACUGGGACUGAGACACGGCCCAGACUCCUACGGGAGGCAGCAGUGGGGAAUUUUGGACAAUGGGCGCAAGCCUGAUCCAGCCAUGCCGCGUGCAGGAUGAAGGCCUUCGGGUUGUAAACUGCUCUUGUACGGAACGAAAAGACUCUUUCUAAUAAAGAGGGUCCAUGACGGUACCGUAAGAAUAAGCACCGGCUAACUACGUGCCAGCAGCCGCGGUAAUACGUAGGGUGCGAGCGUUAAUCGGAAUUACUGGGCGUAAAGCGUGCGCAGGCGGUGAUGUAAGACAGAUGUGAAAUCCCCGGGCUCAACCUGGGAACUGCAUUUGUGACUGCAUCGCUGGAGUGCGGCAGAGGGGGAUGGAAUUCCGCGUGUAGCAGUGAAAUGCGUAGAUAUGCGGAGGAACACCGAUGGCGAAGGCAAUCCCCUGGGCCUGCACUGACGCUCAUGCA